Molecule: small nucleolar RNA, 73 nt
Organism: Pavo cristatus (Indian peafowl)
Lineage: Eukaryota; Metazoa; Chordata; Aves; Galliformes; Phasianidae
Source: Ensembl
GAAAAAUGAGGAUACUUUCAUUGCUUCUUAUUACUGUGAAGACUUCAGAUCCAACUCUGAUUUCACUCUAGUG